This 69-nucleotide transfer RNA is filed under the name Macrodorcas seguyi. Its description in RNAcentral is "tRNA-Met". It matches the Rfam family "tRNA". From Rfam's summary of the family: Transfer RNA (tRNA) molecules are approximately 80 nucleotides in length. Their secondary structure includes four short double-helical elements and three loops (D, anti-codon, and T loops). Further hydrogen bonds mediate the characteristic L-shaped molecular structure. tRNAs have two regions of fundamental functional importance: the anti-codon, which is responsible for specific mRNA codon recognition, and the 3' end, to which the tRNAs corresponding amino acid is attached (by aminoacyl-tRNA synthetases). tRNAs cope with the degeneracy of the genetic code in two manners: having more than one tRNA (with a specific anti-codon) for a particular amino acid; and 'wobble' base-pairing, i.e. permitting non-standard base-pairing at the 3rd anti-codon position. Lineage: Eukaryota; Metazoa; Arthropoda; Insecta; Coleoptera; Lucanidae. The record is from RNAcentral.
AAAUAGGUAAGCUAAAUUAAGCUAUUGGGUUCAUACCCCACUUAUAAAGGUUAAUCCCUUUCUUAUUUA